RNAcentral lists this ribosomal RNA (372 nucleotides) under uncultured organism. RNAcentral's name for it is "bacterial SSU rRNA". It matches the Rfam family "Bacterial small subunit ribosomal RNA", at positions 526 to 896 of the family's 1533-position model. The record is from RNAcentral.
CGUAGGGUGCGAGCGUUGUCCGGAAUUAUUGGGCGUAAAGAGCUCGUAGGCGGUUUGUCGCGUCGGCCGUGAAAACUUGGGGCUUAACCCCGAGCCUGCGGUCGAUACGGGCAGACUUGAGUUCGGCAGGGGAGACUGGAAUUCCUGGAGUAGCGGUGAAAUGCGCAGAUAUCAGGAGGAACACCGGUGGCGAAGGCGGGUCUCUGGGCCGAUACUGACGCUGAGGAGCGAAAGCGUGGGGAGCGAACAGGAUUAGAUACCCUGGUAGUCCACGCCGUAAACGGUGGGUGCUAGGUGUGGGGGACUUCCACGUUCUCCGUGCCGCAGCUAACGCAUUAAGCACCCCGCCUGGGGAGUACGGCCGCAAGGCUA